UCCAGCUUCAAUCGCUUCCAGUGGCAGAAGAAGAACCGGGCCUUUAAAACCAACUGGACCAGAACCAAACCAUAGCAGAAGCUGAGCUCAGACACCUGCAGGUCAAAGGUCAGACUCCUUUGACUUGCAGUCCUCCAUCAUUUCCAGACUUGGAGCUCCUAAAGUAUCGCUGACACAACAAAAUGAUUUGAAAAGACAAACUGCUGCUUUAAUUUUGCAACACUAAAGAUUUUAAUAAUAAAUAUUUCUCACAGAUUACAGAAAGUAGAGCAGCGGCGCCAUCUUGUGACAUAAUCAGGGUCAGUCAAAACAUAGCAGUCAAACGUGUAUCCGCCAUGUCUACCAGCAAACAGUCGCUCCGUAUUUUCAUCAGUUAAAAACCUUUUGACUUUUGUGUGCGAGUCCCUGUAAAAAUGAGACAAACGUAUACAUGACAACAUGAACACAGAGUGAAAAUCCCUAAGAAAACAACCCUGAGAUAUUUACGGUUAUCAGAAGGAGACAGACGUUCAGAUCCAAACCUUCACCGUUUCUUCUUCCCAGAAACGUUUGAGUCAUCGUCACUUCCUGGACUUUAUGGAUCAAUAAAUACUAAAUAUGGCUUCCGACUCCCUCCUCGUCACUCGAUGUGGAUCCUUCCUCCAAAACAGCAGAGAAAUCGCUCUGAUCAACUCCCUGCGCUUCUGUUAAUCGGUCGUUUCAGGUUUGACUUACCUGAUGAUGUCAUAAGAUGGCGCCGGCGUUUGACCCAAUUAUUACUGAGAAAAACCACAAUGCUCCGUGGAAUUUAUAUAAUUCUGUGAUAUUCUGUGAAUAUUUAUUAUUAAAAGCUUUUGUGUUUACAGAACAAA
This is a long non-coding RNA of Xiphophorus maculatus (southern platyfish), 851 nucleotides long. RefSeq lists it as uncharacterized. The record is from RefSeq and is a predicted model, not a curated record. The transcript is spliced from 2 exons. NCBI's taxonomy places the organism in Eukaryota, Metazoa, Chordata, Actinopteri, Cyprinodontiformes, Poeciliidae.